Molecule: transfer RNA, 72 nt
Filed under: Marmota monax (woodchuck)
Lineage: Eukaryota; Metazoa; Chordata; Mammalia; Rodentia; Sciuridae
Description: tRNA.Ala
Source: RNAcentral
UGGCAGUGCGGCUCAGUGGUAGAGCACUUGCCUAGCAUGUUGAAGGUCCUGGGUUUAAUCCUCAGCACUUAA